GAUGAACGCUGGCGGCGUGCCUAAUACAUGCCAGUCGAGCGAACAGAUAAGGAGCUUGCUCCUUUGACGUUAGCGGCGGACGGGUGAGUAACACGUGGGUAACCUACCUAUAAGACUGGAAUAACUCCGGGAAAUCGGGGCUAAUGCCGGAUAACAUUUAGAACCGCAUGGUUCUAAAGUGAAAGAUGGUUUUGCUAUCACUUAUAGAUGGACCCGCGCCGUAUUAGCUAGUUGGUAAGGUAACGGCUUACCAAGGCAACGAUACGUAGCCGACCUGAGAGGGUGAUCGGCCACACUGGAACUGAGACACGGUCCAGACUCCUACGGGAGGCAGCAGUAGGGAAUCUUCCGCAAUGGGCGAAAGCCUGACGGAGCAACGCCGCGUGAGUGAUGAAGGUCUUCGGAUCGUAAAACUCUGUUAUUAGGGAAGAACAAAUGUGUAAGUAACUGUGCACGUCUUGACGGUACCUAAUCAGAAAGCCACGGCUAACUACGUG
Molecule: ribosomal RNA, 497 nt
Filed under: uncultured bacterium
Lineage: Bacteria
Description: partial 16S ribosomal RNA
Rfam family: Bacterial small subunit ribosomal RNA
Source: RNAcentral